This 508-nucleotide ribosomal RNA is filed under the name uncultured bacterium. RNAcentral's name for it is "bacterial SSU rRNA". It matches the Rfam family "Bacterial small subunit ribosomal RNA", at positions 28 to 526 of the family's 1533-position model. The record is from RNAcentral.
GAUGAACGCUAGCGACAGGCUUAACACAUGCAAGUCGAGGGGCAGCGGGGAGUAGCAAUACUUUGCCGGCGACCGGCGCACGGGUGCGUAACGCGUAUGCAACCUACCCAUCAGACGGGGAUAACCCGGCGAAAGUCGGACUAAUACCCGAUGAAGCAGGGGCACUGCAUGGUGCUAUUUGCUAAAGGAUUUAUUGCUGAUGGAUGGGCAUGCGUUCCAUUAGGUAGUUGGCGGGGUAACGGCCCACCAAGCCAUCGAUGGAUAGGGGUUCUGAGAGGAAGGUCCCCCACACUGGUACUGAGACACGGACCAGACUCCUACGGGAGGCAGCAGUGAGGAAUAUUGGUCAAUGGGCGGGAGCCUGAACCAGCCAAGUCGCGUGCAGGAAGACUGCCCUAUGGGUUGUAAACUGCUUUUACGGGGGAAUAAUGGCCGCUACGUGUAGCGGAGAUGCAUGUACCCUGUGAAUAAGCAUCGGCUAACUCCGUGCCAGCCGCCGCUGUAAAAC